This 253-nucleotide ribosomal RNA is filed under the name uncultured bacterium. RNAcentral's name for it is "partial 16S ribosomal RNA". It matches the Rfam family "Bacterial small subunit ribosomal RNA", at positions 524 to 776 of the family's 1533-position model. The record is from RNAcentral.
UACGUAGGGGGCAAGCGUUGUCCGGAAUCAUUGGGCGUAAAGCGCGUGUAGGCGGUUCGGUAAGUCUGCUGUGAAAGUCCAGGGCUCAACCCUGGGAUGCCGGUGGAUACUGUCGGGCUAGAGUGCGGAAGAGGCGAGUGGAAUUCCUGGUGUAGCGGUGGAAUGCGCAGAUAUCAGGAGGAACACCAAUAGCGAAGGCAGCUCGCUGGGACGUUACUGACACUGAGGCGCGAAAGCGUGGGGGGCGAACAGG